RNAcentral lists this ribosomal RNA (481 nucleotides) under uncultured bacterium. RNAcentral describes it as "partial 16S ribosomal RNA". It matches the Rfam family "Bacterial small subunit ribosomal RNA", at positions 28 to 507 of the family's 1533-position model. The record is from RNAcentral.
GAUGAACGCUGGCGGCGUGCUUAACACAUGCAAGUCGAACGAAGCACCUUAUUUGAUUUCCUUCGGGACUGAUUAUUUUGUGACUGAGUGGCGGACGGGUGAGUAACGCGUGGGUAACCUGCCUUGUACAGGGGGAUAACAGGUGGAAACGGCUGCUAAUACCGCAUAAGCGCACAGCAUCGCAUGAUGCAGUGUGAAAAACUCCGGUGGUAUAAGAUGGACCCGCGUGGGAUUAGCUAGUUGGUGAGGUAACGGCCCACCAAGGCGACGAUCCAUAGCCGACCUGAGAGUGUGACCGGCCACAUUGGGACUGAGACACGGCCCAAACUCCUACGGGAGGCAGCAGUGGGGAAUAUUGCACAAUGGGCGAAAGCCUGAUGCAGCGACGCCGCGUGAGCGAAGAAGUAUUUCGGUAUGUAAAGCUCUAUCAGCAGGGAAGAUAAUGACGGUACCUGACUAAGAAGCACCGGCUAAAUACGUG